Pelobates cultripes (western spadefoot toad) is the source of this 190-nucleotide non-coding RNA. The record is from the annotation of a GenBank genome assembly. NCBI's taxonomy places the organism in Eukaryota, Metazoa, Chordata, Amphibia, Anura, Pelobatidae.
ACCAAAUUGGCCUUUUGGCUCAGAUCAGGUGUAAUAUUUGUCCUUAUCGGUUUAAUAUCUGAUACAGCCCUUUAUCUGGGGACCAUAUAUUACAUGGAUUUUUGGGACAGGGAGAUGGAAGAAGGGCUUGCUCUGUCCUCUCAAUGCAUUAACCUGAAAUUGCAGUAACUCCAUGACCAGUGUACCUCUC